Molecule: ribosomal RNA, 443 nt
Filed under: uncultured bacterium
Lineage: Bacteria
Description: partial 16S ribosomal RNA
Rfam family: Bacterial small subunit ribosomal RNA
Source: RNAcentral
CCUACGGGAGGCAGCAGUGGGGAAUAUUGCACAAUGGGCGAAAGCCUGAUCCAGCAACGCCGCGUGAAGGAAGACGGGUUUCUGCUCGUAAACUUCUAUCAACAGGGACGAAAGACAUGACGGUACCUGAAUAAGACACCCCGGCUAACUACGUGCCAGCAGCCGCGGUAAUACGGAGGGGGCAAGCGUUAUCCGGAAUUACUGGGUGUAAGGGGUGAGUAGGCGGGAUGGUAAGCCAGAUGUGAAAGCCUUGGGCUUAACACUAGGAUUGCAUUUGGAACUAUCAAGCUAGAGUACAGGAGAGGAAAGCGGAAUUCGUAGUGUAGCGGUGAAAUGCGUAGAUAUUAGGAAGAACACCAGUGGCGAAGGCGGCUUUCUGGACUGAAACUGACGCUGAGGCACGAAAGCGUGGGGAGCGAACAGGAUUAGAUACCCGUGUAGUC